Molecule: small RNA, 2853 nt
Filed under: Pongo abelii (Sumatran orangutan)
Lineage: Eukaryota; Metazoa; Chordata; Mammalia; Primates; Hominidae
Description: retained intron
Source: RNAcentral
GAAGGACGGCGCCAGAUCCCAAGCUGACCCUGUCCAAGGCUGCAGCCCAGCAGCUGGACCCCCGAGAGCACCUGAACCAGGGCAGGCCCCACCUGUCGCCCAGGCCACCCCCCACAGGAGACCCUGGCAGCCACCCACAGUGGAGGUCCGGAGUGCCCAGAGCAGGGAAGCAGGGCCAGCGUGCCGUGAGCGCCUACCUGGCUGAUGCCCGCAGGGCCCUGGGGUCUGCAGGCUGUAGCCAGCUCUUGGCAGCGCUGAGGGCCUAUAAGCAAGACGACGACCUCGACAAGGUGCUGGCUGUGCUGGCCGCCCUGACCACUGCAAAGCCGGAGGACUUCCCCCUGCUGCACAGGUUCAGCAUGUUUGUGCGUCCACACCACAAGCAGCGCUUCUCACAGACGUGCACAGACCUGACCGGCCGGCCCUACCCGGGUAUGGAGCGGCCGGGACCCCAGGAGGAGAGUCUUGUCGUGCCUCCUGUGCUUACCCAUGGGGCUCCCCAACCAGGCCCCUCACGGUCCGAGAAGCCCGGGAAGACCCAGAGCAAGAUCUCGUCCUUACUUAGACAGAGGCCAGCAGGGACUGUGGGGGCGGGCAGUGAGGAUGCAGGUCCCAGCCAGUCCCCAGGACCUCCCCACGGGCCUGCAGCGUCUGAGUGGGGUGAGCCUCAUGGGAGAGACAUCGCUGGGCAACAGGCCGCGGGAGCUCCGGGCGGGCCCCUCUCAGCAGGCUGUGUGUGCCAGGGCUGUGGGGCGGAGGACGUGGUGCCCUUCCAGUGCCCUGCCUGUGACUUCCAGCGCUGCCAAGCCUGCUGGCAACGGCACCUUCAGGCCUCUAGGAUGUGCCCAGCCUGCCACACCGCCUCCAGGAAGCAGAGCGUCACGCAGGUCUUCUGGCCAGAGCCCCAGUAAGUGCCCACGGAGGCCCUCGGCACACCCAACGUGGCUUGAUCACCUGCCUGUCCAGCUCUGGUGGGCCAAGAACCCACCCAACAGAAUAGGCCAGCCCAUGCCAGCCGGCUUGGCCCGCUGGGCCCGCUGCAGGCCUCAGGCAGGCAGGGCCCAUGGUUGGUCCCUGAGGUGGGACCGGAUCUGGGCCUGCCUCUGAGAAGCCCUGAGCUACCUUGGGGUCUGGGGUGGGUCUCUGGGAAAGUGCUUCCUCAGAACUUCCCUGGCUCCUGGCCUGUGAGUGGUGCCACAGGGGCACCCCAGUUGAGCCCCUCACCGGGAAGGAGACGCCCGUGGGCAUGUGUCCACUUUUAAUCAGGGGACAGGGCUCUCUAAUAAAGCUGCUGGCAGUGCCCAGGACGGUGUCUUCGUGGCCUGGGCUUGGUGGUGGGAGUUGAGGAGGGACGGAGUUGGCAAAGGCCCCUCCCAGCCUGCCACGUGACAUUGUACUUCCUCCACGGUGGGCUCAGCCCUGCCCUCAUCCUCACAGCGGCAGCCAAGCUGCAAUUGGUAGGGGAUCCACCAACACACCAGGCUGCCUGGGCCGGUCUCUGGGUUGGGAGCUGCCCCAGGUGCUGAGGAGGGCGGUUCCCUGGCUGGUGAGGCCCCUCACAGAACCGCCCUUGGACUGAGCUCUCGGGAGGGAUGGUACCAGGUGGGUGAGGGGGGCUGCCUGGGGAAGGAGGAGUUCCUAUGGGGCGUGGCGAGGCUGGCCCAGCCCUCUCCCCACCCAUAUAUGUAGGGCGGCAGCAGGAUGGGCUUCGGGACUUGGGCGGCCCCUCGGCAGGCGGACUGGGGGCAAAGGAGGCGGCAUGUUGGUCAGGCACAGCAGGGUCCGGUGUCCGCGCUGAGCCGCGCUCUCCCUGCUCCAGUAAGGACCAUGAGGGCGCUGGAGGGGCCAGGCCUGUCGCUGCUGUGCCUGGUGUUGGCGCUGCCCGCCCUGCUGCUGGUGCCGGCUGUACGCGGAGUGGCAGAAGCACCCACCUACCCCUGGCGGGACGCAGAGACAGGGGAGUGGCUGGUGUGCGCCCAGUGCCCCCCAGGCACCUUUGUGCAGCGGCCGUGCCGCCGAGACAGCCCCACGACGUGUGGCCCGUGUCCACCACGCCACUACACGCAGUUCUGGAACUACCUGGAGCGCUGCCGCUACUGCAACGUCCUCUGCGGGGAGCGUGAGGAGGAGGCACGGGCUUGCCACGCCACCCACAACCGCGCCUGCCGCUGCCGCGCCGGCUUCUUCGCGCACGCUGGUUUCUGCUUGGAGCACGCAUCAUGUCCACCUGGCACCGGCGUGAUUGCCCCGGGCACCUCCAGCCAGAACACACAGUGCCAGCCGUGCCCCCCAGGCACCUUCUCAGCCAGCAGCUCCAGCUCAGAGCAGUGCCAGCCCCACCGCAACUGCACGGCCCUGGGCCUGGCCCUCAAUGUGCCAGGCUCUUCCUCCCAUGACACCCUGUGCACCAGCUGUACUGGCUUCCCCCUCAGCACCAGGGCACCAGGAGCUGAGGAGUGCGAGCGUGCCGUUAUCGACUUCGUGGCUUUCCAGGACAUCUCCAUCAAGAGGCUGCAGCGGCUGCUGCAGGCCCUCGAGGCCCCGGACGGCUGGGGUCCGACACCAAGGGCGGGCCGCACAGCCUUGCAGCUGAAGCUGCGUCGGCGGCUCACGGAGCUCCUGGAGGCGCGGGACGGGGCACUGCUGGCGCGGCUGCUGCAGGCGCUGCGUGUGGCCAGGAUGCCCGGGCUGGAGCGGAGCGUCCGUGAGCGCUUCCUCCCUGUGCAAUGAUCCUGGCCCCCUCGCCCCCACUUAUUUAUUGUACAUCCUUGGCACCCUACUUGCACUAAAAGAGGCUUUUUUUAAUAGAAGAAAUGAGCUUUCUUAAAGCUUAUUUUUAUAAAGCUUUUUCGU